This 690-nucleotide ribosomal RNA is filed under the name uncultured bacterium. Its description in RNAcentral is "bacterial SSU rRNA". It matches the Rfam family "Bacterial small subunit ribosomal RNA", at positions 151 to 859 of the family's 1533-position model. The record is from RNAcentral.
UAGAAAUGACUGCUAAUACCGCAUAAGACCACAGCACCGCAUGGUGCAGGGGUAAAAACUCCGGUGGUGUGAGAUGAGCCCGCGUCUGAUUAGGUAGUUGGCGGGGUAACGGCCCACCAAGCCGACGAUCAGUAGCCGACCUGAGAGGGUGACCGGCCACAUUGGGACUGAGACACGGCCCAAACUCCUACGGGAGGCAGCAGUGGGGAAUAUUGCACAAUGGGGGAAACCCUGAUGCAGCGACGCCGCGUGAGCGAAGAAGUAUUUCGGUAUGUAAAGCUCUAUCAGCAGGGAAGAAACUGACGGUACCUGACUAAGAAGCACCGGCUAAAUACGUGCCAGCAGCCGCGGUAAUACGUAUGGUGCAAGCGUUAUCCGGAUUUACUGGGUGUAAAGGGAGCGUAGACGGAGCAGCAAGUCUGGAGUGAAAACCCGGGGCUCAACCCCGGGACUGCUUUGGAAACUGUUGUUCUAGAGUGCUGGGGAGGUAAGUGGAAUUCCUAGUGUAGCGGUGAAAUGCGUAGAUAUUAGGAGGAACACCAGUGGCGAAGGCGGCUUACUGGACAGUAACUGACGUUGAGGCUCGAAAGCGUGGGGAGCAAACAGGAUUAGAUACCCUGGUAGUCCACGCCGUAAACGAUGACUGCUAGGUGUCGGGUAGCAAAGCUAUUCGGUGCCGCAGCAAACGCA